This 167-nucleotide non-coding RNA is filed under the name uncultured Tubulinea. Lineage: Eukaryota; Tubulinea. The record is from RNAcentral.
UUUUUCUUUUUCUCUUCUUUUUUUUUGUUUCUGUUGCUUCUUCUUUGAUGGAAAGCGUAGAACUAAAAAGAGAAGGAUGGUUGGGUGUAUUGGGGGUGUAAAUUAUUGCAUUGUACUUGUAGCAAACACUUUAAAUAACGAAAAAAAAAAUGUAAGAGUAUUUUUUU